RNAcentral lists this transfer RNA (73 nucleotides) under Chryseobacterium indoltheticum. Its description in RNAcentral is "tRNA-Phe". It matches the Rfam family "tRNA". Rfam says of the family: Transfer RNA (tRNA) molecules are approximately 80 nucleotides in length. Their secondary structure includes four short double-helical elements and three loops (D, anti-codon, and T loops). Lineage: Bacteria; Pseudomonadati; Bacteroidota; Flavobacteriia; Flavobacteriales; Weeksellaceae. RNAcentral also lists the same sequence under 1 other name. The record is from RNAcentral.
GGAUCAGUGGUGUAGAAGGUCUGCACGUUUGUCUGAAAAACAAGAGGUAAUCGUUCGAUUCGAUUCUGAUCCG